RNAcentral lists this ribosomal RNA (406 nucleotides) under Streptococcus sp. 130/05. RNAcentral describes it as "bacterial SSU rRNA". It matches the Rfam family "Bacterial small subunit ribosomal RNA", at positions 66 to 459 of the family's 1533-position model. The record is from RNAcentral. Lineage: Bacteria; Bacillati; Bacillota; Bacilli; Lactobacillales; Streptococcaceae.
ACGCUGAAGGAGGAGCUUGCUCUUCUGGAUGAGUUGCGAACGGGUGAGUAACGCGUAGGUAACCUGCCUGGUAGCGGGGGAUAACUAUUGGAAACGAUAGCUAAUACCGCAUAANAGUAGAUGUUGCAUGACAUUUGCUUAAAAGGUGCAAUUGCAUCACUACCAGAUGGACCUGCGUUGUAUUAGCUAGUUGGUGAGGUAACGGCUCACCAAGGCGACGAUACAUAGCCGACCUGAGAGGGUGAUCGGCCACACUGGGACUGAGACACGGCCCAGACUCCUACGGGAGGCAGCAGUAGGGAAUCUUCGGCAAUGGACGGAAGUCUGACCGAGCAACGCCGCGUGAGUGAAGAAGGUUMMMNUUCGGAUCGUAAAGCUCUGUUGUAAGAAGANGAACGAGAGUGAC